Molecule: ribosomal RNA, 744 nt
Filed under: uncultured Bacillota bacterium
Lineage: Bacteria; Bacillati; Bacillota
Description: bacterial SSU rRNA
Rfam family: Bacterial small subunit ribosomal RNA
Source: RNAcentral
AGGAGAGUUUGAUCCUGGCUCAGGAUGAACGCUGGCGGCGUGCCUAACACAUGCAAGUCGAACGAAGCGUCCCGCCCGAAGAGAAGGAGUGCUUGCACAAUUUUAAUUCAAUUGGGAUGACUUAGUGGCGGACGGGUGAGUAACGCGUGGGUAACCUGCCUUAUACAGGGGGAUAACAGUUAGAAAUGACUGCUAAUACCGCAUAAGCGCACAGAAUCGCAUGAUACAGUGUGAAAAGCCGAGACGGUAUAAGAUGGACCCGCGUCUGAUUAGCCAGUUGGCAGGGUAACGGCCUACCAAAGCGACGAUCAGUAGCCGGCCUGAGAGGGUGAACGGCCACAUUGGGACUGAGACACGGCCCAAACUCCUACGGGAGGCAGCAGUGGGGGAUAUUGCACAUUGGGGGAAACCCUGAUGCAGCGACGCCGCGUGAGCGAAGAAGUAUUUCGGUAUGUAAAGCUCUAUCAGCAGGGAAGAAAAUGACGGUACCUGACUAAGAAGCUCCGGCUAAAUACGUGCCAGCAGCCGCGGUAAUACGUAUGGAGCAAGCGUUAUCCGGAUUUACUGGGUGUAAAGGGAGCGUAGACGGUUUGCCAAGUCUGAUGUGAAAGGUGAGGGCUCAACCCUUAAACUGCAUUGGAAACUGGUAGACUAGAGUGUCGGAGAGGUAAGUGGAAUUCCUAGUGUAGCGGUGAAAUGCGUAGAUAUUAGGAGGAAACAGGAUUAGAUACCCUGGUAGUCCCU